AGGACGUGUCGGCUGCUUU
RNAcentral lists this small nuclear RNA (19 nucleotides) under Arabidopsis thaliana (thale cress). RNAcentral describes it as "snRNA_12770". The record is from RNAcentral. Lineage: Eukaryota; Viridiplantae; Streptophyta; Magnoliopsida; Brassicales; Brassicaceae.